This 206-nucleotide unclassified non-coding RNA is filed under the name Hevea brasiliensis (rubber tree). The record is from RNAcentral. Lineage: Eukaryota; Viridiplantae; Streptophyta; Magnoliopsida; Malpighiales; Euphorbiaceae.
GCAUGUGGCGAUGUAUCAUUCUACAUCACAAUUACCUUCAAUCACGUCUUUACUUUGCGACUUGACAUACAAACUUGCUAACCCUUGUCGACAGAAUCAACCAAGGUAUAAUUCCGACCUUCACAUAAUCAUUUGCGGUACCUCCAGCCCUCCAAGACAAAAAUUUUCCAAAUGGCUGCACAAGGUGAUGAGGUACAGUAGCAACA